This 1550-nucleotide ribosomal RNA is filed under the name Bacillus subtilis. Its description in RNAcentral is "16S ribosomal RNA". It matches the Rfam family "Bacterial small subunit ribosomal RNA". Lineage: Bacteria; Bacillati; Bacillota; Bacilli; Caryophanales; Bacillaceae. The record is from RNAcentral.
UUAUCGGAGAGUUUGAUCCUGGCUCAGGACGAACGCUGGCGGCGUGCCUAAUACAUGCAAGUCGAGCGGACAGAUGGGAGCUUGCUCCCUGAUGUUAGCGGCGGACGGGUGAGUAACACGUGGGUAACCUGCCUGUAAGACUGGGAUAACUCCGGGAAACCGGGGCUAAUACCGGAUGGUUGUUUGAACCGCAUGGUUCAAACAUAAAAGGUGGCUUCGGCUACCACUUACAGAUGGACCCGCGGCGCAUUAGCUAGUUGGUGAGGUAACGGCUCACCAAGGCAACGAUGCGUAGCCGACCUGAGAGGGUGAUCGACCACACUGGGACUGAGACACGGUACCAGACUCCUACGGGAGGCAGCAGUAGGGAAUCUUCCGCAAUGGACGAAAGUCUGACGGAGCAACGCCGCGUGAGUGAUGAAGGUUUUCGGAUCGUAAAGCUCUGUUGUUAGGGAAGAACAAGUACCGUUCGAAUAGGGCGGUACCUUGACGGUACCUAACCAGAAAGCCACGGCUAACUACGUGCCAGCAGCCGCGGUAAUACGUAGGUGGCAAGCGUUGUCCGGAAUUAUUGGGCGUAAAGGGCUCGCAGGCGGUUUCUUAAGUCUGAUGUGAAAGCCCCCGGCUCAACCGGGGAGGGUCAUUGGAAACUGGGGAACUUGAGUGCAGAAGAGGAGAGUGGAAUUCCACGUGUAGCGGUGAAAUGCGUAGAGAUGUGGAGGAACACCAGUGGCGAAGGCGACUCUCUGGUCUGUAACUGACGCUGAGGAGCGAAAGCGUGGGGAGCGAACAGGAUUAGAUACCCUGGUAGUCCACGCCGUAAACGAUGAGUGCUAAGUGUUAGGGGGUUUCCGCCCCUUAGUGCUGCAGCUAACGCAUUAAGCACUCCGCCUGGGGAGUACGGUCGCAAGACUGAAACUCAAAGGAAUUGACGGGGGCCGCACAAGCGGUGGAGCAUGUGGUUUAAUUCGAAGCAACGCGAAGAACCUUACCAGGUCUUGACAUCCUCUGACAAUCCUAGAGAUAGGACGUCCCCUUCGGGGGCAGAGUGACAGGUGGUGCAUGGUUGUCGUCAGCUCGUGUCGUGAGAUGUUGGGUUAAGUCCCGCAACGAGCGCAACCCUUGAUCUUAGUUGCCAGCAUUCAGUUGGGCACUCUAAGGUGACUGCCGGUGACAAACCGGAGGAAGGUGGGGAUGACGUCAAAUCAUCAUGCCCCUUAUGACCUGGGCUACACACGUGCUACAAUGGACAGAACAAAGGGCAGCGAAACCGCGAGGUUAAGCCAAUCCCACAAAUCUGUUCUCAGUUCGGAUCGCAGUCUGCAACUCGACUGCGUGAAGCUGGAAUCGCUAGUAAUCGCGGAUCAGCAUGCCGCGGUGAAUACGUUCCCGGCCUUUGUACACACCGCCCGUCACACCACGAGAGUUUGUAACACCCGAAGUCGGUGAGGUAACCUUUUAGGAGCCAGCCGCCGAAGGUGGGACAGAUGAUUGGGGUGAAGUCGUAACAAGGUAGCCGUAUCGGAAGGUGCGGCUGGAUCACCUCCUUU